This 650-nucleotide ribosomal RNA is filed under the name uncultured bacterium. RNAcentral describes it as "bacterial SSU rRNA". The stretch from base 1 to 562 matches the Rfam family "Bacterial small subunit ribosomal RNA", at positions 338 to 873 of the family's 1533-position model. The record is from RNAcentral.
CCUACGGGAGGCAGCAGUGGGGAAUUUUGGACAAUGGGCGAAAGCCUGAUCCAGCAAUGCCGCGUGAGUGAAGAAGGCCUUCGGGUUGUAAAGCUCUUUUGUCAGGGAAGAAACGGUGAGAGCUAAUAUCUCUUGCUAAUGACGGUACCUGAAGAAUAAGCACCGGCUAACUACGUGCCAGCAGCCGCGGUAAUACGUAGGGUGCAAGCGUUAAUCGGAAUUACUGGGCGUAAAGCGUGCGCAGGCGGUUUUGUAAGUCUGAUGUGAAAUCCCCGGGCUCAACCUGGGAAUUGCAUUGGAGACUGCAAGGCUAGAAUCUGGCAGAGGGGGGUAGAAUUCCACGUGUAGCAGUGAAAUGCGUAGAUAUGUGGAGGAACACCGAUGGCGAAGGCAGCCCCCUGGGUCAAGAUUGACGCUCAUGCACGAAGACGGUGGGGAGGACGAACAGGAGUUAGUAUACCUACGGUAGUCCGACCGACCCGUAAACCGAACUAGUCUACUUAGUUGUCGGGUUCGUUAAUUAGUACUUGGUAACGACGAGCGUACGCGUGAGUAGACCGCCGUGGGUAGGUUAGGUUCGUCGAGAGUUAAACGUUACGAAUUAGAGUUAGACGGCGNGAGAGNGCCGACGGCGACGACGAGGGAGGAGG